Manduca sexta (tobacco hornworm) is the source of this 2279-nucleotide long non-coding RNA. RefSeq lists it as uncharacterized. NCBI's taxonomy places the organism in Eukaryota, Metazoa, Arthropoda, Insecta, Lepidoptera, Sphingidae. The record is from RefSeq and is a predicted model, not a curated record. The transcript is spliced from 3 exons.
UUUUAUUAAUGAAUGAGUCGCAGAAAUUUUUUGUAAUAAUCUUCGUGUUGCGGUGAAAAAUAAAACAAUUGGUAACGAUAGAAUCCGGGUUCGUUCGGUGGCGUUACAAAUAUUUCGUGUGUCAUACGAACAGUUCCUUCAUGUCUGUUUCAUUCGAACUGUACGAUCGUCGCAGUUUUCAACUCAUACGAAACGAGAUUUGGAAUUUUUUUAUACCUAUUAGUAAGGCAUCAAGAUUAUAUUUUAUGGUAGUGUAUUUUAUCUCAUAAAAUUAUAAAUUAGGGCAUAAACAAAUCCACAUUUCAUGGCAUUCGCAGUAUUUCUCAAACUGUUUACACCGCGAUUUGCGACUGAUCACAACAGCGGCGUGUAACAUCUUCUGACAAUUAUAUAACAAAAGUAUUAUCUGAUGCGGUGGUCAAAUUCUCCUUGCACGCCAAUAAUGAAGCCAUAAAUGUAAUACGAUUAACAUUAACAAACAGAAAAAUGAUUUCCAUUGUUGCGCUUCCGGGAAUCUUGUGUUUUGUCAGCUGACUGCACUCCAGCCUUUCAUACUGAGUGAGGUUGACCUGCGCCGGUGCUGGCGGUGCGAGGGGCAGGUGCGUGCCUCUGCCAUGCUUGCUGCGCACAUCUGUUUGUUUGUUCGCAUGUACCGCGCGGCUAUUUCAGUGCGCUAUCGGAGGGCACCGCAAAUAGCGCGCCCAGAAUACCGCGCAAAGGUUAGCUAAAUAUCGGCACUAUGCGACUCGCUCGCACCGUCACCCCUCAGUCCUCGCGCACCACUGACCACUCGCACGCUGCACUGGUCUGCUCUAAUUAGCCAGGUCCACCCAAUAAUAAAGAGGAGCCAGCAGUGUCGGCGAGUGGGACGUGGCCACCACCCACAGGAGCCGGCGCGUGCUGCUGGCGACACUCCAUCACGCCGAGCUGGAUUCCUCCGAUAUACGUAAAACAACAACAUAUAUAUCUAUCCAUACGCACAACUAACUAUGCAGUAUAGAGCAAUAUUCGUAUUUAUUACUUUCUUAUUUAAACGAUUAAUGUUUGUAGAAAACAGCUCGUCCGAUUUGGAUGAAAUUUUGGAUUUGAAGUUAAAGGGGGAGAAACUAAACUGCUGAACCGAUUGUAAUGAUGUAGAUAUGGGGAUUUCACAAAACUAGAAGACAAAUAUAGGAUAUUCUUUUUUUUUCUUCAACCAUAAUUAAGGAUGCAAAAGAGGGGAGAUGUUAAACUGUUAACUCGAUUGUAAUAUAUUGAACCUGGAAGAUAACAUUAGUAAUGUUUAUUUAUUCAAAUUAUAGUUACAUAAUUUUCUUUAACGGUGUGUAAAGAUGACAUAUUUUGGGUUUUAUUACCCCUAAAUAAGGAGGUUAAAAGGGGAAAAGAAUAAACCGUUGUACCGAUUAUGGUAAAAUAUGAUAUUAUCUAUAUCAUAUCCAUAAAAUAAAUCUAAAGAAAUCUCUUAAUUUAUGGUACUUGUAGAUUUUUAUUGAAGAGAAGAAUCAUGGCUAACAGUACAUAGUAUUUGUUAUAAAAUUGCUUUGUGACGAACUUUUCAACUGAGAAUUUCGAGGGAUGUGCUGCGUCCACAGUUAAUAAGAAAUAAAUAGCGGAGAAUGUAUGCCAGAGCAUCGCUAGUCUCCGCACCACAGGCCAAUGAAAACUCACUGCCGCCGCAUAUAACAGUACCGCAUUUAUUGAUAUACAUACAUCGUCCGAUCAAGAUUAAAAUUUCUAUUCAACUGUUUCUCAAAAAUAGGCUGUUGUUAAAAAUAAUACGAUGAUUAUAAAUCAACAUUCACGAGGCUCUAGCUCGGAUCUGAUCCCGGGAAGCAACUGUGAAGAGAUGUGCAAACUGAAUAUAUUUGCCAUUUUACAGCAUUACAGGGUCUCCGGCGUCCGUGCCCCACUGUAGUCAGUCGGAGGGAGAAGAGAAGCGUAGCACACCUAGCCAGCCACAGCUCUACGAAACGCAACCACACUCUACAAGUCUCACACUGCGUUGUCGGCCACCGUACAACACUGGGAGCUAUUGGUCAGUGUCAGCAUACCAUAGUGUCUUAUAAUUAAGCAUCGAGAAUCUAUCAUCUCUUUCCUAAUGAUAAGCGCCACGCAUCAUCACUAUUAACGGAGUUUUGAAUUUAGAAAUACCUACGGUAUGACUCUCACAAGCGCAGUGUUUGUCAUGUUAGGGCAUUUGUUAUUAAUUCAAAUAACACUCAACUCAAUAUGCAACUCUACAUUCUUGCUAGCGGUAGAGCGUUACUAACUCAACUAGU